Molecule: long non-coding RNA, 877 nt
Organism: Lolium rigidum
Lineage: Eukaryota; Viridiplantae; Streptophyta; Magnoliopsida; Poales; Poaceae
Exons: 4
Source: RefSeq, a predicted model, not a curated record
CUACCCUUCUCCCAUCCCAUUCUCCCUGGCGGCGGCUCCACACCCUCCUCUCCCGUCAGGCAGAUCGCUCCCCUCUUCUCUUUCUGGUCGAUGAGCGCCUCUGUGUAUCCUCCGCCGUCAAUCGUUGCUGCAACACGGAGAGGAGGUGGCUGAGGAAUGGGGGCAGAUGGCAUCUACUCUGCUUCCUGAUUCGCCACCGCUCUGAUGCCGCCGCCGACAGAGCAGGUCUACACAAGCAACCUAGGAAGGCCACCGACAGACGCCGCUCCUCGUCGAUUCGUCCGCUGCUUUGGUGAAACCAAUACUAAUUCCAGUUCAUUUAACCCGGCCCCUUUUGAGUUCAUAUUGGCAAGUUGAUGGUUACUGAUCAUCUUUCGAAUGCUUUUUGGUAUCGUUGGGUGAAAGCGGUAAAGCUAAUGUUGAUCCAGAAAGUUUUUCUCAUAUUGACGACGUGGUGGUAUCUUUAUUCGUACAUCUAUCGAACACACUUUUCAGACUAAUUGUUGCUGUAUUUGACUCUGGAAGUGUCCAGAUAUGUUAUUUGGGAUCUCUGACGCUCCAUUAUUUUUAGGUUGAUGGAUAUCAUAACAAUGAGGAAGCGACAUAGUACGAAAGUAUUAUUGGGAAGAAUCUCUAGCAACAUGAGGUAGUUCUUAGUCUGACUAGAGGGUCUACUGUCUGUUUCUUUCUAACUUUCUUUUACAAGAACAAGCUACAAAGAGUUAGAGAUGUUGGCCCUGGAGACGUACAAUAUGAGAGACGGAGACUUAAUGAGGACACAAAGAACUCCACACCUGCUGAAACACCAUAAGAAGAAACAUAUGGGACUUGGGUAAACAUCAAUGUCGAAGCAGUUGAUGGGUUGUACAAUUUAUGU